RNAcentral lists this ribosomal RNA (468 nucleotides) under uncultured bacterium. RNAcentral describes it as "partial 16S ribosomal RNA". It matches the Rfam family "Bacterial small subunit ribosomal RNA", at positions 28 to 507 of the family's 1533-position model. The record is from RNAcentral.
GACGAACGCUGGCGGCGUGCUUAACACAUGCAAGUCGAACGGAAAGGCCCUGCUUUUGUGGGGUGCUCGAGUGGCGAACGGGUGAGUAACACGUGAGUAACCUGCCCUUGACUUUGGGAUAACUUCAGGAAACUGGGGCUAAUACCGGAUAGGAGCUCCUGCUGCAUGGUGGGGGUUGGAAAGUUUCGGCGGUUGGGGAUGGACUGGCGGCUUAUCAGCUUGUUGGUGGGGUAGUGGCUUACCAAGGCUUUGACGGGUAGCCGGCCUGGGAGGGUGACCGGCCACAUUGGGACUGCGAUACGGACCAGACUCCUACGGGAGACAGAAGUGGGGAAUAUUGCACAAUGGGCGGAAGCCUGAUGCAGCAACGCCGCGUGCGGGAUGACGGCCUUCGGGGUGUAAACCGCAUUCGCCUGUGACGAAGCGUGAGUGACGGUAAUGGGUAAAGAAGCACCGGCUAACUACGUG